AGGGAGCAAGCGUUAUCCGGAUUUACUGGGUGUAAAGGGCGUGUAGGCGGGCUUGCAAGUUGGAAGUGAAAUCCAGGGGCUUAACCCCUGAACUGCUUUCAAAACUGCGAGUCUUGAGUGAUGGAGAGGCAGGCGGAAUUCCCAGUGUAGCGGUGAAAUGCGUAGAUAUUGGGAGGAACACCAGUGGCGAAGGCGGCCUGCUGGACAUUAACUGACGCUGAGGCGCGAAAGCGUGGGGAGCAAA
RNAcentral lists this ribosomal RNA (244 nucleotides) under uncultured bacterium. Its description in RNAcentral is "partial 16S ribosomal RNA". It matches the Rfam family "Bacterial small subunit ribosomal RNA", at positions 529 to 772 of the family's 1533-position model. The record is from RNAcentral.